UACAGAGGUCCCAAGCGUUGUUCGGAUUCACUGGGCGUAAAGGGUGCGUAGGUGGCCGGGUAAGUUCGGUGUGAAAGCUCGGAGCUCAACUCCGAAAUGGCAUUGAAUACUAUCCGGCUUGAGGGUCGGAGGGGAGACUGGAAUUCUCGGUGUAGCAGUGAAAUGCGUAGAUAUCGAGAGGAACACCAGUGGCGAAGGCGAGUCUCUGGACGACUCCUGACACUGAGGCACGAAAGCGUGGGGAGCAAACAGG
RNAcentral lists this ribosomal RNA (253 nucleotides) under uncultured bacterium. RNAcentral's name for it is "partial 16S ribosomal RNA". It matches the Rfam family "Bacterial small subunit ribosomal RNA", at positions 524 to 776 of the family's 1533-position model. The record is from RNAcentral.